This 259-nucleotide ribosomal RNA is filed under the name uncultured bacterium. RNAcentral's name for it is "partial 16S ribosomal RNA". It matches the Rfam family "Bacterial small subunit ribosomal RNA", at positions 524 to 776 of the family's 1533-position model. The record is from RNAcentral.
UACGUAGGGUGCGAGCGUUGUCCGGAAUUACUGGGCGUAAAGAGCUCGUAGGUGGUUUGUCGCGUUGUUCGUGAAAACUCACAGCUCAACUGUGGGCGUGCGGGCGAUACGGGGCAGACUAGAGUACUGCAGGGGAGACUGGAAUUCCUGGUGUAGCGGUGGAAUGCGCAGAUAUCAGGGAGGGAACACCGGUGGCGAAGGCGGGUCUCUGGGGCAGUAACUGACGUGAGGGAGCGAAAAGCGUGGGGGAGCGAACAGG